This 503-nucleotide ribosomal RNA is filed under the name uncultured bacterium. RNAcentral's name for it is "bacterial SSU rRNA". It matches the Rfam family "Bacterial small subunit ribosomal RNA", at positions 8 to 507 of the family's 1533-position model. The record is from RNAcentral.
AGAGUUUGAUCAUGGCUCAGGAUGAACGCUAGCGGGAGGCCUAACACAUGCAAGCCCGAGCGGUAUAGAAUCUUCGGAUUUUAGAGAGCGGCGUACGGGGUGCGGAACACGUGUGCAACCUUACCUUUAUCUGGAGGAUAGCCUUUCGAAAGGAAGAUUAAUACUCCAUAAUAUAUUGAUUGGCAUCAAUUAAUAUUGAAAGCUCCGGCGGAUAGAGAUGGGCACGCGCAAGAUUAGUUAGUUGGUGAGGUAACGGGCUCACCAAGACGAUGAUCUUUAGGGGGCCUGAGAGGGUGAUCCCCCACACUGGUACUGAGACACGGACCAGACUCCUACGGGAGGCAGCAGUGAGGAAUAUUGGACAAUGGGUGCAAGCCUGAUCCAGCCAUCCCGCGUGAAGGACGACUGCCCUAUGGGUUGUAAACUUCUUUUGUAUAGGGAUAAACCUCUCCUCGUGAGGAGAGCUGAAGGUACUAUACGAAUAAGCACCGGCUAACUCCGUG